GACCCCGUAGCUCAGCGGUAGAGCGUGAGAUUCCAGUGAGAGUAUCCUCAAGGUCAUCCGUUCAAUCCGGGUCGGGGUCA
Molecule: transfer RNA, 80 nt
Filed under: Rhodocollybia butyracea
Lineage: Eukaryota; Fungi; Basidiomycota; Agaricomycetes; Agaricales; Omphalotaceae
Rfam family: tRNA
About the family: Transfer RNA (tRNA) molecules are approximately 80 nucleotides in length. Their secondary structure includes four short double-helical elements and three loops (D, anti-codon, and T loops). Further hydrogen bonds mediate the characteristic L-shaped molecular structure. tRNAs have two regions of fundamental functional importance: the anti-codon, which is responsible for specific mRNA codon recognition, and the 3' end, to which the tRNAs corresponding amino acid is attached (by aminoacyl-tRNA synthetases). tRNAs cope with the degeneracy of the genetic code in two manners: having more than one tRNA (with a specific anti-codon) for a particular amino acid; and 'wobble' base-pairing, i.e. permitting non-standard base-pairing at the 3rd anti-codon position.
Source: Rfam by way of RNAcentral